AUACGGAGGGUGCAAGCGUUAUCCGGAUUUAUUGGGUUUAAAGGGUCCGUAGGCGGACCUGUAAGUCAGUGGUGAAAUCUCACAGCUUAACUGUGAAACUGCCAUUGAUACUGCAGGUCUUGAGUAAAUUUGAAGUGGCUGGAAUAAGUAGUGUAGCGGUGAAAUGCAUAGAUAUUACUUAGAAAACCAAUUGCGAAGGCAGGUCACUAAGAUUUAACUGACGCUGAUGGACGAAAGCUGGGGGAGCGAACAGUAUUAGAUCCCCUGGUAGUCCACGCCGUAAACGAUGCUAACUCGUUUUUUGGUUUUCGGAUUCAGAGACUAAGCGAAAGUGAUAAGUUAGCCACCUGGUGAGUACGUUCGCAAGAAUGA
RNAcentral lists this ribosomal RNA (372 nucleotides) under uncultured bacterium. Its description in RNAcentral is "bacterial SSU rRNA". It matches the Rfam family "Bacterial small subunit ribosomal RNA", at positions 523 to 897 of the family's 1533-position model. The record is from RNAcentral.